Molecule: ribosomal RNA, 254 nt
Filed under: uncultured bacterium
Lineage: Bacteria
Description: partial 16S ribosomal RNA
Rfam family: Bacterial small subunit ribosomal RNA
Source: RNAcentral
GACAGAGGGUGCAAACGUUGUUCGGAAUUACUGGGCGUAAAGCGAGUGUAGGCGGUUCGAUAAGUCGGAUGUGAAAGCCCCCGGGCUCAACCCGGGAAGUGCACUCGAUACUGUCGAGCUAGAGUAUCGGAGAGGUUGGUGGAAUUCUCGGUGUAGAGGUGAAAUUCGUAGAUAUCGAGAGGAACACCGGUGGCGAAGGCGGCCAACUGGACGAAUACUGACGCUGAGGCUCGAAAGCGUGGGGAGCAAACGGG